Molecule: long non-coding RNA, 1725 nt
Organism: Spinacia oleracea (spinach)
Lineage: Eukaryota; Viridiplantae; Streptophyta; Magnoliopsida; Caryophyllales; Amaranthaceae
Exons: 6
Source: RefSeq, a predicted model, not a curated record
AUUUCCCGCUUUCUCCUCUCCUUCCUCUUCUCAUGUUUCCCUAAAAUAUAUUUUCAUUUCCCCCUCUCUGGUUUCUAUGCUCUUCCCUCUCCUGUUUUCUGGGCGUGAAAUCAACACUCACAACACUCACAUAGCACACAUCGCACUCCCCCAAUGUCGCGUCGCCGCUUCUUCUCCCCCAUCGCCGCGCCUCUGCUGCUUCUCCCCCACCGUCGCGUCGCCGCUGCUUCUCCCCUAUCGUCGCAUCGCUGCUGCUGAUCCUCCACCGCUACGUCGCCGCUGCUACUCCCCUACCUCUGCGUUGCGGCUGUUGCUCCCCCACCGCCACGAAUUUUGGAAAGGAAAUUUCAAUUUGCGUUUCUCUAAACCCUAGAAAAUGUCGGGUGGCUUUUUCCAGGGAUUAUUCUAAAACUUAUGCUUGAUCGAAGUACUUUGAUGAAGCAAAUCCUUGGACUGAGAGGUGUGAUGUUGCAUUUCCUUGUGCUACACAAAACAAAAUAGAUCAAUUUGAUGCCAUUAGUUUGGUCAAUUCUGGUUGUCGUCUACUAGUUGAAGGUUCGAUCAUGCCUUGUACCCCCUGAAGUUGUUGAUGUCCUAAGGAAAUCUAGUGUUGUAGUUGCACCAGCCAUGGCUGCUAGUGCUGGGGGUUCACAGGAGGCUUCGGUGUGGAAACUAUGAGAGCAUUCGAUCACUUGAGAGACAACUGCAGAAUCACCAAGAAUCCGUACAACUGCUAAACCAAAUAGCAGUAACAAAACCACCAUUGUAUGGCAACCGCUAUCAGUCUGGGACAGACCUGAGUGAGACUGGAGUAAUCAACUUCGCCAAAUGAAGUUGACCCGGUUUGACCAGGAACCAACCCAGAGUUCUAACUACAACCCCAAUCCAACAGAACCAGCAACGUCCAAUGUGUGAACUAAGGUAACAUUGUAGCAAGCGUACCAUAAAUAAGCAACAUUCAGAACCGGCAGCAUUCAGAACCGGCAGCAUUCAGAACUGAGGCAACAUUCAGAACCGGCAGCAGAAUCACCAACAAUCUGUACAGCUGCUAAACCAAAUAGCAGUAACAGAACCACCACUACAUGGCAACCGCUAUCAGUCUGGGGUAGACCUGGGUGAGACUGGAGUAAUCAACUUCGCCAAAUGAAGUUGACCUGGUUUGACCAGGAACCAACCCAAAGUUCUAACUGCAACCCCAAUCCAACAGAACCAGCAACGUCCAAUGUGUGAACUGAGGCAACAUUAUAGCAAGCGUACCAGAAAUAAGCAGCCUGUAAACCUACCACCCUGCCUGCAUCCUCGAACAAAAACCCAGCUUGUCGCUCCGGCCUCCUUCCCCCCACCGCCGCCAAGCUUUACCUUCUUCCAGAUGGAACUAAUUCAGGACUCAGCAGUUUUCGCACAGUAAGGUUGCCUGAUAUGCGAUUGUCUAUGUUGUAUACAUUGUCGUGGCCUUAUAGCUGCUCUAAGAUAACUUGGCCACGCCUCGAUCUCUGCAAGUAUUCAAUAAUCCGAGGGAGCGGCCUUUCACCUUUGAGGAGAUAGAUGAAGUUCGAGAAAUGUUGGCAAACUUCAUUACCAGUGAUUGUCUUUGAUAUUUUCUUGUACUGAAUCUUAAAUUAUGGAUGCUAGUUAUUCAUAUGAUUGUAAUGUAAUCGACUUUUAUAUUUACAAUUAUAUACUAUUAAAUUUAAUUAUCUAUAUAAUUGGAUAAUUUUUAUAUGA